This 465-nucleotide ribosomal RNA is filed under the name uncultured bacterium. Its description in RNAcentral is "partial 16S ribosomal RNA". It matches the Rfam family "Bacterial small subunit ribosomal RNA", at positions 338 to 795 of the family's 1533-position model. The record is from RNAcentral.
CCUACGUGUGGCAGCAGUGGGGAAUAUUGCGCAAUGGGCGAAAGCCUGACGCAGCGACGCCGCGUGAGGGAUGAAGGUCUUCGGAUCGUAAACCUCUGUCAGCAGGGAAGAACGGUCACUGUGCUAAUCAGCAGUGAAUUGACGGUACCUGCAAAGGAAGCACCGGCUAACUCCGUGCCAGCAGCCGCGGUAAUACGUAGGGUGCGAGCGUUAAUCGGAAUUACUGGGCGUAAAGCGCUCGUAGGCGGUAUGUCAAGUCAAGGGUGAAAUCCCCGCGCUCAACGUGGGAACUGCAUUUGAAACUGGCAAACUGGAGUGUAGGAGAGGAUAGUGGAAUUCCAGGUGUAGGAGUGAAAUCCGUAGAUAUCAGGAGGAACAUCAGUGGCGAAGGCGACUAUCUGGCACAUAACUGACGCUGAGGAGCGAAAGCGUGGGUAGCAAACAGGAUUAGAUACCCGUGUAGUC